UGGGGAAUAUUGCACAAUGGGGGAAACCCUGAUGCAGCGACGCCGCGUGAACGAAGAAGGUAUUCGUAUCGUAAAGUUCUGUCCUAUGGGAAGAUAAUGACAGUACCAUAGAAGAAAGCUCCGGCUAAAUACGUGCCAGCAGCCGCGGUAAUACGUAUGGAGCGAGCGUUGUCCGGAAUUAUUGGGCGUAAAGGGUACGCAGGCGGUUUAAUAAGUCGAAUGUUAAAGAUCGGGGCUCAACCCCGCAAAGCAUUGGCAACUGAUAAACUUGAGUAGUGGAGAGGAAAGUGGAAUUCCUAGUGUAGUGGUGAAAUACGUAGAUAUUAGGAGGAAUACCAGUAGCGAAGGCGACUUUCUGGACACAAACUGACGCUGAGGUACGAAAGCGUGGGGAGCAAACAGG
Molecule: ribosomal RNA, 403 nt
Filed under: bacterium
Lineage: Bacteria
Description: partial 16S ribosomal RNA
Rfam family: Bacterial small subunit ribosomal RNA
Source: RNAcentral